Myotis davidii is the source of this 840-nucleotide long non-coding RNA. RefSeq lists it as uncharacterized. Lineage: Eukaryota; Metazoa; Chordata; Mammalia; Chiroptera; Vespertilionidae. The transcript has 3 exons. The record is from RefSeq and is a predicted model, not a curated record.
UUAAAUGAACAGAUUUAAAGGAAAAAAAAAAAUAUGGGCCUUGCUGAGAACCAAGGUUCUGAAAUCCUGUAAGGUCCCCGUGAUGCCUGGCUGGCCUGAUGGUUGAAAUAAAAUGCAUCUCAACAAAAAAAGAAAAACUAGUUUGGAUAAGAUAUAAGCAGAGGGGACCAGCAGCAUUCAGGAUUGUUUACAGAAAGAAUGCUGCCUCUUAGAACUAGAAAGAUACAAAGAUGAGACCAAGGGUGAGAAAUGCAGUCAACGUGAAAUACUGACUUCAGUUUUUACCUAAGAAGUAGGUACACAUAAGAAAAGGGGGCAUGAUCCAGUUGAGAGUGGGAUGCAGCUUGGCAGACAUGAUGUUCAUUCAGGCAAUACAUGUAGGAAAAUAAAGAGUUUUUCUUUUCUGUAGAUUUAAAGAAGGAACCAAGUCCAGGUAUAUGUUCUCUGCAGCCCUGAGAGCAACUAGAGAUAGUGUUUGAUUUUGAAAAAUCAGGCAUUGGGAUCAUGUGUCACUACUACUGUCCAUGAGGAAAAAAUGAGCAUAGAAAAUGGCAUACAUAUAGAGUGGGAAGGAAACUUAAAAACCCAUUCUUCUGCAGAUACUAUCCAGGACUUUGAUGACAGGACUGGCAAAAGUGUUCUGCGGCCAGUAACGCCUUGUCUAUGUCCAUAAUGGACAUCACUCAUUGAGCACAGCCCUUCUCUUUCAGCUUGAACACAGCUUCCAAAUCCUUCUCAGACAUCAUGCCAGUCAACUACUAUCAAGAGACUGGAGUUGAGGCCUGGCUGGUGGUGUUCAGUGGUUAAAGCAUUGGUCCUAACUGAAGGGUCAUGGGUUUG